AAAGGUGUAGCUCAGUGGUAGAGCUCAUGUUUAGCAUCCUUUCGUCUCUGGGUUUGAUUCCCAGUGUCAUGA
Molecule: transfer RNA, 72 nt
Filed under: Ictidomys tridecemlineatus (thirteen-lined ground squirrel)
Lineage: Eukaryota; Metazoa; Chordata; Mammalia; Rodentia; Sciuridae
Description: Spermophilus tridecemlineatus (thirteen-lined ground squirrel) tRNA
Rfam family: tRNA
About the family: Transfer RNA (tRNA) molecules are approximately 80 nucleotides in length. Their secondary structure includes four short double-helical elements and three loops (D, anti-codon, and T loops).
Source: Rfam by way of RNAcentral